GUCCCUAUCUGUCGUGGGCGCUGGAGAACUGAGGGAGGCUGCUCCUAGUACGAAAGGACCGGAGUGGACGCAUCACUGGCGUUCGGGUUGUCAUGCCAAUGGCACUGCCCGGUAGCUCAAUGCGGAAGAGAUAAGUGCUGAAAGCAUCUAAGCACGAAACUUGCCCCGAGAUGAUUUCUCCCUGACUCCUUGAGAGUCCUGAUGGAACGUUGAAGACGACGACGUUGUUAGGCCGGGUGUGUAAGCGCAG
RNAcentral lists this ribosomal RNA (250 nucleotides) under Escherichia coli. Its description in RNAcentral is "partial 23S ribosomal RNA". It matches the Rfam family "Bacterial large subunit ribosomal RNA", at positions 2634 to 2878 of the family's 2925-position model. The record is from RNAcentral. Lineage: Bacteria; Pseudomonadati; Pseudomonadota; Gammaproteobacteria; Enterobacterales; Enterobacteriaceae.